This 1335-nucleotide long non-coding RNA is filed under the name Sus scrofa (pig). RNAcentral describes it as "lncRNA (ENSSSCG00035070465.1)". The record is from RNAcentral. Lineage: Eukaryota; Metazoa; Chordata; Mammalia; Artiodactyla; Suidae.
GGUAUAUUUCUCAGAUGAGGUCUCUCUUCUGUUUUUGCUUUUCUGUCACAGGAUUUGAAUUUCUGAUCUCUCUGUGUAUGUUUGUCCAAGAAGCGAGGGGUCUUCCAUUUGGGGUUAUAUGUCCCCAUUUGUUCGAUCCCUGGCCUCACUCAGUGGGUGAAGUAUCUGGCAUUGCUGUGAGCUGUGGUGUAGGCCACAGACAUGGCUCGGAUUUGGGGUGCCUGUGGCUGUGGUGUAGGCCGGCACCUAUAGCGCUGAUUCGACCCCUAGCCCAGGAACCUCUACAUACCGCAGGUGCAGCCCUAAAAAGAGAAAAAGAAAAAAGAAUGUAUACAUAUGGGUAGGACUCAGUCACUUUGCUGUACAACAGAAAUUGACAUAACAUUGUAAAUCAAAACUAUACUUUAAAAAAAGAGGUCCUUUGUAGAUGCGAUUGGAGUUCCCUGGUGGCUCAGUAGGUUAAGGAUCUGGUUUAUCACUGCUAUGGCUUGGGUUGCUGCUGUGGCGCAGGUUCAGCCCAUGGCCCUGGAAGUUCCAUACGCUGCAGGUGUGGCCAAAAGAAAAACGUCCUUUGUAGUUGUGAUUAAGCAAAUCACCUUGAGAUGGAGGAGAUUAUCCUGAAUUUUUCAGGUGAGCAGAGUGUAAUGACAAAAGUCCUUGCAGAAGGCAGGAUAGUCAAAGAAGCAGAUGUGAUGACCAAAAUAGAGAUCAGAAAGAGAUGUGAGGAGUUCCCGUUGUGGCGCAGUGGUUAACGAAUCCGACUAGGAACCAUGAGGUUGCGGGUUCGGUCCCUGCCCUUGCUCAGUGGGUUAACGAUCUGGCGUUGCCGUGAACUGUGGUGUAGGUUGCAGACACGGCUCGGAUCCUGAGUUGCUGUGGCUCUGGCGUAGGCCGGUGGCUACAGCUCCGAUUCAACCCCUAGCCUGGGAACCUCCAUAUGCCGCGGGAGCGGCCCAAGAAAUAGCAACAACAACAACAACAAAACAACAACAACAACAAAAAAAAAAAAAAAGAGAUGUGAGAGCGAAACACUGCCAGUUUUGAAGAUGGAGGAAGGGGCCAGGAGCUAAGGAUUGCAGGCAGCUUUAGAAACUGGAAAAGACAGAGUUCCCAUCAUGGCUCAGGGGUUAACGAAUCUGACUAGGAACCAUUGAGGUUGUGGGUUCGAUCCCUGACCUCGCUCAGUGGGUGAAGGAUCCAGCGUUGCCGUGAGCUGUGGUGUAGGUCGCAGACACAGCUUGGAUCUGGCGUUGCUGUGGCUGUGGUGUAGGCUGGUGGCUGCAUCUCCGAUUAGACCCCUAGACUGGGAACCUCCAUGUGCUCCAGGAAAGACAG